Molecule: ribosomal RNA, 317 nt
Filed under: Globigerinoides ruber ruber
Lineage: Eukaryota; Foraminifera; Rotaliida; Globigerinidae
Description: SSU rRNA
Source: RNAcentral
AUAUGAUAGGUGGUGCAUGGCCGUUCUUAGUUCGUGGAGUGAUCUGUCUGCUUAAUUGCGUUUCAAAUUUUUAUUUGAGGACCAGGUUUUGGUUUGGGUAGUGGUCCUACGAUGACUGUGAACUGUCAUGUCUUCGGAUGUGCGACUAUCGGUCUAGGAUCGCAUCUCAGCCCCUGGGACUCUUUUGAACGCAACGGACGUGAUUGCAACCCCUUGUUGAGAUUAGAGGAGUCUCGAUAUUCAUUGGCCAAACUUACCGCUUCGAGCUUGCUCGUGCAGUUUUGUUAGCCGGUGGAUAAACUCGGGGGACUGCUGAC